UACGUAGGGUGCAAGCGUUGCCCGGAUUUAUUGGGCGUAAAGGGCGCGCAGGCGGCCCGGCGCGUCCGCGGUGAAAGCUCCCGGCUCAACUGGGAGAGGUCCGCGGAAACGGUCGGGCUGGAGCAAGGUAGGGGGUCGUGGAAUUCCCGGUGUAGUGGUGGAAUGCGUAGAGAUCGGGAGGAACACCAGUGGCGAAGGCGGCGACCUGGACCUGUGCUGACGCUGAGGCGCGAAAGCUAGGGGAGCAAACGGG
RNAcentral lists this ribosomal RNA (253 nucleotides) under uncultured bacterium. RNAcentral describes it as "partial 16S ribosomal RNA". It matches the Rfam family "Bacterial small subunit ribosomal RNA", at positions 524 to 776 of the family's 1533-position model. The record is from RNAcentral.